AAAGAGAAACUUCUCUCACGUGGAGAUUGAGACGAUCACCAGGGAGGGCUACCGUACAAAAUCUCCCAGUGACAGCAACUGUUGAGAGUUGAGGAAUGUUUCCCAUUAUUUAUGAUGCUUCUCCGGCUUCAUACAGAGAUAUCAUUCUAAACAAUUGAUGCAUGGAAGGUUUCAGAGAUCUUUAGGAUCACAGGCUUAUGACUUGUUUGCUGGGAAAAAGGUGAGUGGCAUCUCUGCUAACACAGAGUUUACCAUCUCCAUCAACCCAUCAGGAGUUGUGAUGUGGUAUGUCUAUUUCACAAUGCAGGAUGUCCAGACACAAGACAAUGGUAGAUACCCCUACGUCCGACAGAAAUACAAGAGUUGUACUUCCUAUUCUGCUAUAAAGGGAUAAAGUAAGCAAAUAGCAAUAAACUUUAUAUGAAAUAUGUCCUCAAGAAUUCAUUAAAUAAAUUACUGUUGAUUUUAAUGGGAGAAUGUUGAUGAUUUUAAACACAAUUUAAUUUAAACUCAUUGUAAUAUUGACAUCCCAGUUAAAAUAUAAUGCCUGCAAUCAGACAGGAAAUGAAGUUACUAGAUCAGAUAAUCCUCAUCACUAGCUAUAAAAAAUUUUGUAAUUUGUAUGGCUAAAAGGCAACAUUUGCUAUGGGUUUUAGUCUAGCAACCUUUCGGUUCAUGGUCAGAUGCUCUUACAACUAGGCUCUUUGUCUUGUUCUCAAAAGAAAAAAAGCAAUGAUUUAAGAACAAUGUACUUCGGACAGUAACCAUAUUGAUUGUACAUGAAAAUGGGUUUUCCUUCUGUGCACGGUACACAUUCAAAAUGUUUAAUUCUUUAAUUCAAAAUCUGCAUCAUAACAGUUACAUUUCUGGAAUAUUCUUUAAUAUGUUCUUAAAUGAGAGGGCAAUUCAGAACUCAUACUAGACCUUAUGACUGAUGAUGAUUGUACUUUUUUUUUCUUUCUUGUGUUUGUAUUUUGAUCUGAGUAUUUCUGCAAUUUCUUUGUAAAUCCAGGGCUCUGUAAAAUGGACAUGUGUUUCAAUACGUCUCUGAUAAA
This is a long non-coding RNA of Esox lucius (northern pike), 1055 nucleotides long. RefSeq lists it as uncharacterized. NCBI's taxonomy places the organism in Eukaryota, Metazoa, Chordata, Actinopteri, Esociformes, Esocidae. The transcript has 3 exons. The record is from RefSeq and is a predicted model, not a curated record.